Molecule: signal recognition particle RNA, 299 nt
Filed under: Aotus nancymaae (Ma's night monkey)
Lineage: Eukaryota; Metazoa; Chordata; Mammalia; Primates; Aotidae
Description: Metazoan signal recognition particle RNA (ENSANAG00000013039.1)
Rfam family: Metazoan signal recognition particle RNA
About the family: The signal recognition particle (SRP) is a universally conserved ribonucleoprotein. It is involved in the co-translational targeting of proteins to membranes.
Source: RNAcentral
ACCGGGCCUGGUGGCGUGUGCCUGUAGUCCCAGCUAUUCGGGAGGCUGAGGCUGGAGGAUCUCUUGAGUCCAGGAGUUCUGGGCUGUAGUGUGCUAUGCUGAUUGGGUGUCCACACUAAGUUCGGCAUCAAUAUGGUGCCCUCCUGGGAGCGGGGGACCACCAGGUUGCCAAAGGAGGGGUGAACCAGCCCAAGUCAGAAACGGAGCAGGUCAAAACUCCCGUGCUGAUCAGUAGUGGGAUUGCGCCUGUGAAUAGCCACUGCACUCCAGCCUGGGCAACAUAGCGAGACCCCGUCUCU